AGUUCGGUGGACUUUGGCAGUGGUUGACCGUGUGCAAACCAGCAGGACGAUAACGAUAGUGCAAUUUCCGUGUCAAGAGGUCAACUUGUAGUUGGUUGUGUUUUUUUUUCGGGGCCCCUUUAGAGGUAGUUUAAACGAACGUGUUCUACCGUUAUGAAGGCACAAUUGGAACUCUGUCCUUUCUCUCGUUCUCAUACAGACAACCGAAGGAUAUAACGUGGAAUGUUUCAUAGCGUCAUAAAACUGGCGGCCAUAUUCGGUCGGCUUAGAAGUGGAUGCAAUGUGCUUUGGUCAUGUGAUAAUGAUGGGGUAACAGUUUUACACUUCCCAGCAAAUAAUCGGCGCUCAAUUUAGGCGAUACUUUGGCCGAAGCAUGCUGGCCGAUUUCUGAUCGAACAUUGCAACUACACCACUGCAUUCCAAUCGACGUGAACUUCUCCCAACAUCUACCAGAACAAGUCUUGAGUACUUGCAGAGUCCACAACAAAUUAGCAGGCAAUUACGCGGUACAUGGUACAAUGUAGGAAAAUGGCUCCAAGGAAAUUGAAGUCACAUUUCUGAACCACUUCUUCGAUCGUUCAACGGUGGUGGAGGUGAUUUCGUUUCCUAGAAGGCACCAGACAGAUCGGACAUUUAAUUCUUGUUUAUAUCUUCAGAAGUACAUCGGCUAUCCUCUUCCCCAGUUCGGGGACUAUUCCAGAGGUGCAAAUAGUCUCGAGAGUUCCGAGACUUUCAGCUACACUUGGUUUAACAAAGUGCUUCAUUUAUCAUACUUGCAGCCAUAAACCAUACCGGCAGAGCAGGAACAGGAGGAUUGCCCCCAGCACCGCACACCAAAAACCACAUCGGUCGCUGAUAAAUCGGUGCACAUCACCGCGUCCUCAUCAUCUUCAUCAGCUGUGCCGGAAUGGUGGCGCUCCAAAGCGCUAUCUUCCGUUGACGGACAGCAGUACUUCGGGCGGUACCAACGCUAAAACUCCGGAUGUACCUGUCUUGGAAAUAAUCACCUUUUCCCGGUGCAGGCGAAUGAUCCACGCAACGAAGGCUUGCAUUGUAGGGAAAGUAUGUUCCCGCUGGUCGAUUGGAUGAUUGGUUACAAUCGGCAGCAAGCGCGAGGAAUUCAACCAUACUUCACCGCCCUAUGAUUUACAGUCUGAGUAAGUACUUCGAGUCGAUUAUUCUCCUGGACUGAAAGGUUACGAGCGUUGGGCAACACCUUUCAGCAUGUUUUUUUUCGAAACAAACAAAUGUGCUAAAUUCGUAGGAAAAAUGUAUUCUUUUUAUAAACAAAAAAAAACAUUUUCGAAACAAUAAACCUACGUUAAGGGGGAAUCCCUGCAACAAG
Molecule: long non-coding RNA, 1345 nt
Organism: Anopheles funestus (African malaria mosquito)
Lineage: Eukaryota; Metazoa; Arthropoda; Insecta; Diptera; Culicidae
Exons: 3
Source: RefSeq, a predicted model, not a curated record